This 74-nucleotide transfer RNA is filed under the name Lactobacillus intestinalis. Its description in RNAcentral is "tRNA-Met". It matches the Rfam family "tRNA". Rfam says of the family: Transfer RNA (tRNA) molecules are approximately 80 nucleotides in length. The record is from RNAcentral. Lineage: Bacteria; Bacillati; Bacillota; Bacilli; Lactobacillales; Lactobacillaceae.
CGCGGGAUGGAGCAGUCUGGUAGCUCGUCGGGCUCAUAACCCGAAGAUCGUUGGUUCAAAUCCAGCUCCCGCAA